RNAcentral lists this ribosomal RNA (429 nucleotides) under uncultured Bacteroidales bacterium. Its description in RNAcentral is "bacterial SSU rRNA". It matches the Rfam family "Bacterial small subunit ribosomal RNA", at positions 28 to 453 of the family's 1533-position model. Lineage: Bacteria; Pseudomonadati; Bacteroidota; Bacteroidia; Bacteroidales. The record is from RNAcentral.
GACGAACGCUAGCGGCAGGCUUAAUACAUGCAAGUCGAGGGGCAUCACGAGUAGCAAUACUUGGUGGCGACCGGCGCACGGGUGCGUAACGCGUAUGCAAUCUACCUUCAACAGGGGGAUAACUCUGGGAAACCGGAACUAAUACCCCAUAGAAUUAUGAAUCGGCAUCGAUUUAUACUUAAAGAUUUAUUGGUUGGAGAUGAGCAUGCGUUCGAUUAGAUAGUUGGUGAGGUAAUGGCUCACCAAGUCCACGAUCGAUAGGGGUUCUGAGAGGAUGAUCCCCCACAUUGGUACUGAGACACGGACCAAACUCCUACGGGAGGCAGCAGUAGGGAAUAUUGGGCAAUGGACGCGAGUCUGACCCAGCCAUGCCGCGUGCAGGACUACGGCGCUAUGCGUUGUAAACUGCUUUUAUACUGGGGUAAUACU